GAAGAUGAUGCAUGCACUGGGCUCUGAGCAGUUUUUUGCUGUAUUAUUGAUGGAAAUGCAGCCUAGAAAGCUAUUUCUGACCU
Molecule: small nucleolar RNA, 83 nt
Organism: Neltuma alba
Lineage: Eukaryota; Viridiplantae; Streptophyta; Magnoliopsida; Fabales; Fabaceae
Source: RefSeq, a predicted model, not a curated record